CACUGACACAUUACAGCUUCCAGUAUGCAUGACCUACCUUGCCAUUAUCUCAACUUAGAAAUAAUUUGAGUGUCAGAUGUUUCGUCAGGGGGUGGUGAUUAUUCACCCUGUCAAAGAUUCUGAAAUUCAGAUGGGCGUUGAGGGAAUGGUGUUAAAUUUAGGCCCUGUAUGAAAAUGACAGUGGGGAGAUUUGGCGGAGAUCUGACCGGGAAAAUGAGACUUGUGACUUAUGGUUGCGCGGUUCAGCUUUUUAAAAUGUGAUGUGUUAUCCCAGUUUUAAGAUCGUUACAGCAAAGUCCUAUUAUCUCUGCUAAUGACCUCAUCAUUCAAAGUGAACAAGCUUUAUUCACUCCCCUUGUGAUUUUCAGUAUAAGAGAGCAGACUUUUUGUGUAUCUUUUUUUUUAUUUUUUUUUUGUUCGGCAAGCUCACAUGAAAUCACUGCUCACUGCUACAUCUUGAGUGCUACAGAGUGGAAGGUUGAAGUUGAAGUUCACCACACAGUUGUAAAAUCAGCCCCUUUUCAGCUUCCCUCAGCUGGAUGAUGGAUUUGAAAACAUGUUUUGUCAAGUGAAACUUAAGAAAAUAGACAUUUUAGGAAAUCUGCCUCCAGAUCAACAUAUCCUCUGGGGAAACAUCAAACUGAGGAAGUAAGAUGUAAAAAUGCCAAUCAGUGUGGAGGCCUUCAUUUCUGGUGCUGUGAGCAAGGACAUCCUGUCUGAAUGAAGCCAAUUCCCUGGAUAGUUUAUCAGAUGGGUAUUGGUGUUGGAGCAGCUGGUUUCCUUUAAGCUGAGGCUUGAAUCACAAAAAAAUGAUUCUUUGUAUCCGGGAAACGGUGCAGAGCUAAGAAAUAUGAAAAAAUAUAUAAAUAAAUAAAUUUCAGAAUGACUGUAUAGCCAAUCUUAAGUAUGCCACCUUUCAGUUGUAAGAUUUUACAUAUUGGUAUAAAAUAAAAAAUCAUCUUGUCUUGAAAUACAGGCUGAGACCAACACCAAACUGGAGUGUAGCCAAAAUAUAAAGUGUCAG
Long non-coding RNA from Astatotilapia calliptera (eastern happy), 1024 nucleotides. NCBI's taxonomy places the organism in Eukaryota, Metazoa, Chordata, Actinopteri, Cichliformes, Cichlidae. The record is from Ensembl.